RNAcentral lists this ribosomal RNA (465 nucleotides) under uncultured bacterium. RNAcentral describes it as "partial 16S ribosomal RNA". It matches the Rfam family "Bacterial small subunit ribosomal RNA", at positions 338 to 795 of the family's 1533-position model. The record is from RNAcentral.
CCUACGGGAGGCUGCAGUAGGGAAUCUUCCACAAUGGGCGAAAGCCUGAUGGAGCAACGCCGCGUGGGUGAAGAAGGUCUUCGGAUCGUAAAACCCUGUUGUUAGAGAAGAAAGUGCGUGAGAGUAACUGUUCACGUUUCGACGGUAUCUGACCAGAAAGCCACGGCUAACUACGUGCCAGCAGUCGCGGUAAUACGUAGGUGACAAGCGUUAUCCGGAUUUAUUGGGCGUAAAGGGAACGCAGGCGGUCUUUUAAGUCUGAUGUGAAAGCCUUCGGCUUAACCGGAGUAGUGCAUUGGAAACUGGGAGACUGGAGUGCAGAAGAGGAGAGUGGAAUUCAAGGUGUAGCGGUGAAAUGCGUAGAUAUAUGGAAGAACACCAGUGGCGAAAGCGGCUGUCUGGUCUGUAACUGACGCUGAGGUUCGAAAGCGUGGGUAGCAAACAGGAUUAGAUACCCCUGUAGUC